UACGGGGGGAGCAAGCGUUGUUCGGAUUUACUGGGCGUAAAGGGCGCGUAGGCGGUCAGCACAAGUCAGUUGUGAAAUCUCCGGGCCUAACCCGGAAAGGUCAACUGAUACUGUGCGACUAGAGUGCGGAAGGGGCAACUGGAAUUCUCGGUGUAGCGGUGAAAUGCGUAGAUAUCGAGAGGAACACCUGCGGCGAAGGCGGGUUGCUGGGCCGACACUGACGCUGAGGCGCGAAAGCCAGGGGAGCAAACGGG
This 254-nucleotide ribosomal RNA is filed under the name uncultured bacterium. Its description in RNAcentral is "partial 16S ribosomal RNA". It matches the Rfam family "Bacterial small subunit ribosomal RNA", at positions 524 to 776 of the family's 1533-position model. The record is from RNAcentral.